CGGACGGGUGAGUAACACGUGGGUAACCUACCUAUAAGACUGGGAUAACUUCGGGAAACCGGAGCUAAUACCGGAUAACAUUUGGAACCGCAUGGUUCUAAAGUGAAAGAUGGUUUUUGCUAUCACUUAUAGAUGGACCCGCGCCGUAUUAGCUAGUUGGUAAGGUAACGGCUUACCAAGGCGACGAUACGUAGCCGACCUGAGAGGGUGAUCGGCCACACUGGAACUGAGACACGGUCCAG
Molecule: ribosomal RNA, 242 nt
Filed under: uncultured bacterium
Lineage: Bacteria
Description: partial 16S ribosomal RNA
Rfam family: Bacterial small subunit ribosomal RNA
Source: RNAcentral